UUGGAGGGCAAGUCUGGUGCCAGCAGCCGCGGUAAUUCCAGCUCCAAUAGCGUAUAUUAAAGUUGUUGCAGUUAAAAAGCUCGUAGUUGAAUUUCGGGAUCAAUGGAUUGGUCAUGCCGUUGGUAUGUACUGAUUUUAUUGAUUCUCACCUCCUAAAGAAUCAUAAUGCCAUUAAUUUGGUGUUGUGAGGAAUUAGGACUGUUACCUUGAAAAAAUUAGAGUGUUUAAAGCAGGCUUACGCUUGAAUACAUUAGCAUGGAAUAACGAAAUAGGACAUCGCAUUCUAUUUUGUUGGUUUCUAGGAUCGAUGUAAUGAUUAAUAGGGAUAGUUGGGGGCAUUAGUAUUCAAUUGUCAGAGGUGAAAUUCUUGGAUUUAUUGAAGACUAACUACUGCGAAAGCAUUUGCCAAGGAUGUUUUCAUUAAUCAAGAACGAAAGUUAGGGGAUCGAAGACGAUCAGAUACCGUCGUAGUCUUAACCAUAAACUAUGCCGACUAGGGAUCGGAUGAUGUUAAUUUUUUAAUGACUCAUUCGGCACCUUACGGGAAAC
Molecule: ribosomal RNA, 549 nt
Filed under: uncultured Glomus
Lineage: Eukaryota; Fungi; Glomeromycota; Glomeromycetes; Glomerales; Glomeraceae
Description: SSU rRNA
Rfam family: Eukaryotic small subunit ribosomal RNA
Source: RNAcentral